This 456-nucleotide ribosomal RNA is filed under the name uncultured Acidovorax sp. RNAcentral describes it as "bacterial SSU rRNA". It matches the Rfam family "Bacterial small subunit ribosomal RNA", at positions 923 to 1382 of the family's 1533-position model. The record is from RNAcentral. Lineage: Bacteria; Pseudomonadati; Pseudomonadota; Betaproteobacteria; Burkholderiales; Comamonadaceae.
GCACAAGCGGUGGAUGAUGUGGAUUAAUUCGAUGCAACGCGAAAACCUUACCUACCCUUGACAUGUCUGGAACCUUGCUGAGAGGCGAGGGUGCCUUCGGGAGCCAGAACACAGGUGCUGCAUGGCUGUCGUCAGCUCGUGUCGUGAGAUGUUGGGUUAAGUCCCGCAACGAGCGCAACCCUUGUCAUUAGUUGCUACAUUCAGUUGGGCACUCUAAUGAGACUGCCGGUGACAAACCGGAGGAAGGUGGGGAUGACGUCAAGUCCUCAUGGCCCUUAUAGGUGGGGCUACACACGUCAUACAAUGGAUGGUACAAAGGGUCGCCAACCCGCGAGGGGGAGCCAAUCCCAUAAAGCCAUUCGUAGUCCGGAUCGCAGUCUGCAACUCGACUGCGUGAAGUCGGAAUCGCUAGUAAUCGUGGAUCAGAAUGUCACGGUGAAUACGCUCCCGGGUCUU